AUUGAACGCUGGGGCAUGCCUUACACAUGCAAGUCGAACGGUAACAGGUCUUCGGAUGCCGACGAGUGGCGAACGGGUGAGUAAUACAUCGGAACGUGCCUAGUAGUGGGGGAUAACUACUCGAAAGAGUGGCUAAUACCGCAUGAGAUCUACGGAUGAAAGCAGGGGAUCGCAAGACCUUGUGCUACUAGAGCGGCCGAUGGCAGAUUAGGUAGUUGGUGGGAUAAAAGCUUACCAAGCCGACGAUCUGUAGCUGGUCUGAGAGGACGAUCAGCCACACUGGGACUGAGACACGGCCCAGACUCCUACGGGAGGCAGCAGUGGGGAAUUUUGGACAAUGGGCGCAAGCCUGAUCCAGCAAUGCCGCGUGCAGGAUGAAGGCCUUCGGGUUGUAAACUGCUUUUGUACGGAACGAAAAGCCCCGGGUUAAUACCCUGGGGUCAUGACGGUACCGUAAGAAUAAGCACCGGCUAACUACGUGCCAGCAGCCGCCGUAA
This 497-nucleotide ribosomal RNA is filed under the name uncultured bacterium. RNAcentral describes it as "partial 16S ribosomal RNA". It matches the Rfam family "Bacterial small subunit ribosomal RNA", at positions 30 to 523 of the family's 1533-position model. The record is from RNAcentral.